This 752-nucleotide long non-coding RNA is filed under the name Ananas comosus (pineapple). RNAcentral describes it as "long non-coding RNA (ACOM_LNC019715)". The record is from RNAcentral. Lineage: Eukaryota; Viridiplantae; Streptophyta; Magnoliopsida; Poales; Bromeliaceae.
UAGAAAGAGCAUAGGGGCCAUUUCGCCCCAUUUCCACGAAGCCAAACCCACCGAAAGAAUCGACUUCUUCGUUUCGCCGAACGAAGAUAUCCACAAGCUCCCUAGUACCCUAGAAACAUCAAAAAUAGGGUCACCCAAACGAAACGAAGAGCGAAUAGCUCAAUCAUUAACCAACUCAAGCUAGGGUUGGGCAAAAACUCACCUCAAGUGGAAAACCCUCUCCAAAUCCUCAAAUGAAAGGUAGAGGUCUCCCAAUCUAACCUAUAUAAAGGUUCAAAACCCAUAAAAAAGGUUUCAAAGCCCUCAAAUCAAAAAGCCCCAAAAUCUAACCCUAGAAUCCAAAAUCUAGGGUUUAAACAAGCAAAAAGCUCCAAAACUAUGAUCUAGAGGAAGGAACUUUGCCACAUACCUCUAGGAUGCUCCAAACCAAGCUCAAAAUCUUCUAGGGUUGAAGAUCGAUCCACCACAAAGCUCCAAAAGCAAGCUCCCAGCCUCCAAAGGUGAGAAAUGAGGAUGAAGAUUAUGCUCCAAGCCUCCAAGCAAGCUCCCUCUCCUCCUCUUCUUCUUCUUCUUCUUCUCCCUCUCUUCUUCUCUCUCUAAAAUGCCAAGGGUUGAGAGGAAUGGGGGAAAGAGAGAGAAGAAGGGCUCUCUAUAGGCUCUAAAGUAACAAAAUCCAGAUAAGCCCCUCAAAAAUCCAAAAUCACAUCAGCCCGGUCUGGGCAGUUUCCGCCCAGAGGGACCGGUCUCUCCCC